Molecule: ribosomal RNA, 229 nt
Filed under: uncultured eukaryote
Lineage: Eukaryota
Description: partial 18S ribosomal RNA
Rfam family: Eukaryotic small subunit ribosomal RNA
Source: RNAcentral
UGGUGGAGUGAUUUGUCUGGUUAAUUCCGUUAACGAACGAGACCUCAGCCUGCUAAAUAGUCACGCCAAUCGUCUGACAGGUGAAGUGUCGGUUGUCCCGUGUCGCCUCCGGGUGUACGGGCGACCUGAUGCGGAUCCAUGACUGAUUGGUGGCACGCCCCUUUCGCGGGGGCUGACUUCUUAGAGGGACUAUUCUGUGUUUAACGAUUGGAAGUUUGAGGCAAUAACA